Molecule: ribosomal RNA, 458 nt
Filed under: Actinomyces sp. oral taxon D05
Lineage: Bacteria; Bacillati; Actinomycetota; Actinomycetes; Actinomycetales; Actinomycetaceae
Description: bacterial SSU rRNA
Rfam family: Bacterial small subunit ribosomal RNA
Source: RNAcentral
GACGAACGCUGGCGGCGUGCUUAACACAUGCAAGUCGAACGAUGAUGCGGCGCUUGCGCCGUUGAUUAGUGGCGAACGGGUGAGUAACACGUGAGUAACCUGCCCCCUUCUUCGGGAUAACGGUCUGAAAGGGCUGCUAAUACCGGGUAUUCACUGGUCUCCGCAUGGGGGCUGGUGGAAAGGUUGUUUUUCUGGUGGGGGAUGGGCUCGCGGCCUAUCAGCUUGUUGGUGGGGUGAUGGCCCACCAAGGCUUUGACGGGUAGCCGGCCUGAGAGGGUGACCGGUCACAUUGGGACUGAGAUACGGCCCAGACUCCUACGGGAGGCAGCAGUGGGGAAUAUUGCACAAUGGGCGCAAGCCUGAUGCAGCGACGCCGCGUGAGGGAUGGAGGCCUUCGGGUUGUGAACCUCUUUCGCCCGUGGUCAAGCCGCGAUCGUGGGUCGUGGUGAGGGUAGUGG